UACGAAGGGGGCUAGCGUUGCUCGGAAUCACUGGGCGUAAAGCGCACGUAGGCGGAUUGCUAAGUCAGGGGUGAAAUCCUGGAGCUCAACUCCAGAACUGCCUUUGAUACUGGCAACCUUGAGUCCGGGAGAGGUGAGUGGAACUGCGAGUGUAGAGGUGAAAUUCGUAGAUAUUCGCAAGAACACCAGUGGCGAAGGCGGCUCACUGGCCCGGUACUGACGCUGAGGCGCGAAAGCGUGGGGAGCAAACAGG
RNAcentral lists this ribosomal RNA (253 nucleotides) under uncultured bacterium. RNAcentral's name for it is "partial 16S ribosomal RNA". It matches the Rfam family "Bacterial small subunit ribosomal RNA", at positions 524 to 776 of the family's 1533-position model. The record is from RNAcentral.